RNAcentral lists this ribosomal RNA (3573 nucleotides) under Triticum aestivum (bread wheat). RNAcentral describes it as "partial small subunit ribosomal RNA". Lineage: Eukaryota; Viridiplantae; Streptophyta; Magnoliopsida; Poales; Poaceae. The record is from RNAcentral.
AUGAAUCUCCUUGCCUGGAACUGUCGAGGACUGGGGUUGGACUCGACAGUUGGCGAGCUCAAAGACCAGAUACGAUCCCACAACCCAGCGGUGGUGUUCUUGAGUGAGACGAAGAAAACGGCCAGGGCUAUGGAGAAGCUUAAGUGGAGCUUAGGCUUUAGAGAGGGGGUGGCUGUUGAUUGCAAAGGGAAAAGUGGUGGUUCAGCGUUGUGGUGGAGAGACAAUGUGCAAGUGACUAUUCGGCCGUGGUGCCAAUAUUUUAUUGAUGCUGCGGUGAUCUUCGAAGACAAAGCGUGUAGAAUCACUGGAUUCUACGGUGAACCUAAAACUGAACUCAGGGGCAAAUCUUGGGAGGCACUACGUUUUCUUCGAAGACAGGAUGAUCAGCCAUGGAUUGUUCUUGGUGAUUUCAACGAGGCCCUCCUCUUGACCGAGCAGCACGGUGGUAAUUUGAGAAGUUUUGCGCAAAUGGAUGCCUUUCGGGAGUGCUUGGCGGAUUGUGGUUUAGCUGACUUGGGUUUCUUGGAUUACCCGUUUACGUGGGAUAACAGAAGAGAGGGUGCUGAGAAUAUACAAGUUCGCCUAGAUAGAGUUGUGUGCAAUGAUGGUUUUCUAGCCAUGUAUCCUCACACUACGGUGGAACACGUCAUCACCGAGGAGUCUGAUCACAACGCCAUAGUUGUUAAGGCUAGGGAGACGGCUCCCGAUGCCCGGCAGAACGGACCUCGCAGGUUUAACUUUGAAGAGAUGUGGACAAAGCACGAGGGCUAUGAUCCCAUGAUCACUGAGGCAUGGAACCAGGUGGCUGCAAAUGGACUAGGCGCGCGAGCUUUGGCCUCCGGUAUCUCACUGGAGGUCCGGGACUUAGAGAGCCAGCUUCGUGAGCUUUACGAAUGGGAAGAGAUCAUGUACAAACAUCGGUCUCGUGUUGGAUGGCUCAAAGAGGGGGACCAGAAUACACGUUAUUUUCAGAAUAGAGCCAGUCAUCGGAGGCGGAAAAAUACGGUGCGAGCCCUAAGAAGAGAGGAUGGCAGCAGGUGCACCUCGGACGAGGAUAUGAGGGCUAUGGUAGCGUCAUUCUAUGCUAAUGUUUUCGCUUCGGAAGGCUCGACCGGAGCGGACAGGGUCCUUUCACUCAUGGACGAGGUGGUUACUGGCGACAUGAACAAUGACCUCACGGCGGCUAUCUCAGAUGAGGAGGUUGAACGAGCUAUGUUUCAAAUGGGUGCUACGAAAGCCCCGGGGCCGGGCGGCCUGCCCGCUUUAUUCUACCAGAGAUACUGGUCUCUCCUGAAGACGGAUGUGUGCGCGGCUGUACGCGACUUUCUUGGCGGUGGUGCUACGCCGGAUUCCUUCAAUGACACCAUUCUGGUCAUGAUUCCUAAGGUUACUUCUCUGGAGUUGCUAACCCAGUUCCGCCCCAUCAGUCUCUGCAACGUCCUGUACAAGGUGGCUGCCAAGGUUCUUGCAAAUAGGUUAAAGUGUAUCCUCCCAGUGAUGAUUUCUGAGGAACAAAGUGCAUGUGUGCCUGGGAGGCUCAUCACAGACAAUGUUUUGGUUGCAUAUGAGUGCGUGCAUGCGAUCCUCAGGCGUAGAAGGAAGAAACCGCUUUGUGCUGUCAAACUAGAUAUGAUGAAGGCGUACGAUCGUGUGGAGUGGACCUUUCUGGAACAAGUUAUGCGGCGGCUUGGAUUUGCUCAGGGCUGGGUGGACAUGAUUAUGAGGUGUGUUCGGACAGCUAGAUUUUCUGUCAAGCUCAACGGUGGCCUAUCUGAGCUAUUUCUUCCCACCCGGGGACUCAGACAGGGGGAUCUGCUCUCGCCAUAUUUGUUCUUGCUGUGCGUGGAAGGUUUCUCUGCUCUUCUUAAGCGGGCACAGCUGGAAAGGAGCAUCAGUGGGGUUUCUUUCGGUGGCACUGGCCCCCAUCUGACCCACCUCCUCUUCGCGGAUGAUAGCACCGUCUUCCUGGAGGGUUCUCAAGGCAACCUCGAGGCUCUCAGGGAUAUCUUACAAGUGUAUGGGCAGGCUUCGGGGCAGCAAGUAAAUCUCCAGAAAUCCUCUAUUUUCUUUGGGAAGGGAUGUUCGGUGCAUAACAAAAACGUUCUGAAGGGAGUAAUUGGCAUAAACUCUGAGGCCCUCAGCGAGAAGUACCUUGGUCUACCGACGGCGGUGGGCAGAUCCAAAGACGGCACCUUUCGAUAUGUGAGAGAAAGUUCAAAAGGCAAGGUGCUGGGGUGGAAAGGACAGGGUCUAUCUAAGGCUGCGAAGGAAGUGCUAGCUAAAUCCGGGUUACAAGCGACACCGACGUUCACCAUGAGCUGUUUCCAACUAUCCAAGAAAAUGUGCCGGAACCUGACCUCUAUCUCCUCUAACUUCUGGUGGGGUUCAGCUCAUGGUGAAAACAAGGUGCACUGGGUGGCCUGGGACAAGAUGUGCCUGUCCAAGAGAGAGGGAGGCAUGGGGUUCAGAAACUAUGAAGCUUUCAACCAGGCCCUCCUCGGCAAGCAAGCUUGGAGGAUCUUGGAAGUCCCGAACUCCCUUUGUGCUAGGGUUCUACAUGCUAGAUACUUCAAAGACUCGUCGAUUAUGAGUGCACAUGUCCUGCCAAUGCGUCUUUUACUUUCAGAAGCAUCCUUCACGGGCGGGAUCUGCUGCGGGAAGACUUUCAUUCCUGGCUCGACCCGGGUUGCUGACUUGCUCUCGGAGGAGGGAAACGCGUGGAAUGAAGCCAAGGUUGAUGCGAUGUUCACGCCGGACGAUGCUGCUGACAUCAAGCAGAUCCCGAUCGAUGGCCAGGGAGUAGACGACUACCUUGCCUGGAAUUAUACCAAGGAUGGAGUCUACUCGGUCCGGUCAGCUUACCACCUGGCGAUGCAUUUGAGAAAGGCCACCUCUGGACGCCCGGGAUCGUCAUCAUCUGUCAAUUCUCACAGGAACUGGUUAGCCAUGUGGAGUACCCAUGUCCCUAACAAAGUUAAAGUUCAUACGUGGAGAGCCAUGCGCAACGGCCUGGCCACUGGGUCUGAGCUGCUGCGCCGACGAAUCAAACCGGGCGGCUUUUGCACUGCGUGCGGAAGAGAGGAUACACUGCUGCACCGCUUUUGGAGCUGCCCUCACUCGCGACAGUUCUGGGCGGACUUGGCGGACUUGGCGGACAUGCGCAGCAUCCAGGCCCCAUUUCCGCCGGCGGGCAUUGACUCUAAUCAGAAUAUUGGAAGGUGGCUCUGGAACUGGAUGGGAGAAGCUCGGGAGGAGGAAAAAGAGAUGCUCAUGCAGGGGCUAUAUGGCCUGUGGCUAGUAAGAAACGAGGCGCGGGAUGGGGUUCGCAUAAAAAACCCUUCGGCUGUUGCAUGCUUGGUGGCGACACUAAUGGAUGAAUGGGCUGAAGUGGUGACGAAGAAGGCUCGGGUCGUUGCGCCACCGCCUCCUGAAAGAUGGAACCCGUCCGAGACCGACUGGAUCAAGGUGAAUGUGGAUGGCGCGGUCUCUUCUGCCACGGGGAACGGCGGCGGCGGGGUGGUUGUCCGGGAUGACACGAGUGCCUUCCGGUGCCCUGACCCAGCUCUUCCCUAA